AUAUCCAUAUGGACCCCUUGAAGAAGAAUUUGAACCCUCACAUGAGCUUUUGCCCACAGUUUGCUUCCCCAUUUUGGAAAGCUGAGCGUGAAAAAUUUUGGGGGUAUGGUCGGUGAGUAAUGGAAAUCGACAAGAUCUCAGAAUUCCUUUUUGUGAAGUAACAACACCCUUGAUCAGUUCCUCCUGCUAGAUCCUAUCAGCAUCAAUCAGCAGAACCCAAGAACCCGACUCAGUCGCCAGGAGAAGCAACAAGCUGUGAAGGAAUGAUCUCGAAAUUUAUGCUACUUGCGCUGGU
Molecule: unclassified non-coding RNA, 295 nt
Filed under: Hevea brasiliensis (rubber tree)
Lineage: Eukaryota; Viridiplantae; Streptophyta; Magnoliopsida; Malpighiales; Euphorbiaceae
Source: RNAcentral